This 764-nucleotide long non-coding RNA is filed under the name Sorghum bicolor (sorghum). RNAcentral's name for it is "long non-coding RNA (SBIC_LNC013062)". Lineage: Eukaryota; Viridiplantae; Streptophyta; Magnoliopsida; Poales; Poaceae. The record is from RNAcentral.
GGCAAUAGUUGGCUCGUAAAACUCCCCAUUCACCUCGUUGUUGACUUACCUUCUGAUUAUACCAUUGUCUAGCUUCUCCCCUUAAAGAAAAAGGAAAAAGCUUCCAACAUAAAGUUUUAUCAGAAAUGCCUUCAAUGCGAAGACAAUCACAUGUUUGCUCAAAAUCUCUAAUAUGAAGGUAAGGGUUUUUGUCUUCCUUUACUAAAAAAGAUAGGUUUUGAAUCAUGGCAAUCAACCUGGAACUUAACCUAUACUGGGAUGCUAUAGGCUGUGAUGACUCCCAUGGUAAAAGGUCAGUUACCGAAGGUGUUGCAAAUUGGUAGAUUGAUUUAGAAUCUUGGUUUUCCAUGAGGUAAGAAUAAAGAAAAUAAAUAAAGAAUAUAAAAGAUAAGAAAAGAUAAAAAUAUAGAUACAAGCUAGUAGUAAGACUCAAGGUUAUCUCAGCAAACCGUCUUUCUCCCCGGCAACGACGCCAGAAAUACUUGUUGAUAUUUGGUAACGCAAUAAGGAAUUGAUCCGCAAGCGCACGGAUAUCGGUGAGCACUUCACCCGGGAAAUUAUCCAGAGUAUCGUAUUUAUAUUUUUACCACUAGGAGAAAGAGUGCAUCUGACUAACCUGGUCUAUUACUACUAACCUUUAGGCUACAAAGAAUAUUUCUCGAUGUGAGUGAUAUAUAGAGAAGACUGCAACCGUAGUCUCUUUCUAACCUUGGUAAGGAUAAUCUACUAUUCUGAUGGGGAAGCUUACGGAAUCUAGACACCAC